Molecule: transfer RNA, 72 nt
Filed under: Trebouxia sp. A1-2
Lineage: Eukaryota; Viridiplantae; Chlorophyta; Trebouxiophyceae; Trebouxiales; Trebouxiaceae
Also listed under: 3 other names
Description: tRNA-Gly
Rfam family: tRNA
About the family: Transfer RNA (tRNA) molecules are approximately 80 nucleotides in length. Their secondary structure includes four short double-helical elements and three loops (D, anti-codon, and T loops).
Source: RNAcentral
GCGGAAAUAGCUCAAUGGUAGAGUAUUGCGUUGCCAACGCAAAGGUUGAGGGUUCAAAUCCCUUUUUCCGCU